This 70-nucleotide transfer RNA is filed under the name Ovis aries (sheep). It matches the Rfam family "tRNA". Rfam says of the family: Transfer RNA (tRNA) molecules are approximately 80 nucleotides in length. Their secondary structure includes four short double-helical elements and three loops (D, anti-codon, and T loops). The record is from Rfam by way of RNAcentral. Lineage: Eukaryota; Metazoa; Chordata; Mammalia; Artiodactyla; Bovidae.
UUAAGACUAUCAGAUGGUAAAGAAUCUGCCUGCAAUGCAGGAGACCUUGGUUCAAUCCCUGGGUCAGAAA